RNAcentral lists this ribosomal RNA (228 nucleotides) under uncultured bacterium. RNAcentral's name for it is "partial 16S ribosomal RNA". It matches the Rfam family "Bacterial small subunit ribosomal RNA", at positions 335 to 556 of the family's 1533-position model. The record is from RNAcentral.
ACUCCUACGGGAGGCAGCAGUGGGGAAUAUUGCACAAUGGGCGCAAGCCUGAUGCAGCCAUGCCGCGUGUAUGAAGAAGGCCUCGGUUGUAUGUAGNCUUUCAGCAGUGAGGAAGGUGGGUAUGUUAAUAGCAUACUCAUUUGACGUUAGCUGCAGAAGAAGCACCGGCUAACUCCGUGCCAGCAGCCGCGGUAAUACGGAGGGUGCGAGCGUUAAUCGGAAUUACUG